GGCUGUUCUGAGUCCAUUGGUGUUUACAACUAAUUGAUUACAACUAGUUACAGGUGUCUUUGUUGCUGCUCCAUUCCCACUACUUCACUUGACUAGCCUUAA
Molecule: unclassified non-coding RNA, 102 nt
Organism: Gorilla gorilla gorilla (western lowland gorilla)
Lineage: Eukaryota; Metazoa; Chordata; Mammalia; Primates; Hominidae
Rfam family: Y RNA
About the family: Y RNAs are components of the Ro ribonucleoprotein particle (Ro RNP), in association with Ro60 and La proteins. The Y RNAs and Ro60 and La proteins are well conserved, but the function of the Ro RNP is not known.
Source: Ensembl